UUCAUCUUCUUUUUUCGCUAUUGUAAAACGAGUUUUCUUUCUAACUCUGUACAACAAACGAACCUUUAAUGUUCUGAUCUCUCAUUUAAUCGUUCCUCACACAAUUUGUUGGUGUCCGUAUUGAUAGCAGAUUUGCUAAGCGGAGAAGAAUCCUUACCCACAUGUGGGCUGUUUCCAAGAGCACGAAAUUCAACUCAGGGCUCCCUUGGCAAAUCAGGACGACCGAGAGGUACACUUGCCGGUGAUGUAGUAGGUGCAUCAUUGACAGAAGAACAUGUUGGUAAAGUUGGAAUGACAUCUUUUGUUGAGUUUGCAAUGGCAACUGCGGCUUCAGCUUCAAUGGCUCCUCCAGGAGCUUGUAACUCUGAAUAGCAAAUCAACCAAUACUUCAUGAGUCAUAUGAAGAUACAUGCAAACCAAACAGUUUCUAUUGUUAUAACAUCUUUUAAUUUGUGUUCACAGUAUGCAUAUAAAAGUUAUGAAACGAAAAACAAACAAAAUAUAAAAAAAUAUAAAUGGCCACGAAUGUGCUAAGACGUUAAGGUUUUUGAUGUCUCCGCCAUCACAAUUGCAGCUACAUGAACAUAUUUAACUGCAAUAUUUAGGAUUGCACCAUAGCUGCGAUUUAAAACUUGCAAAUGAGCAAUGUACGACCUCCAAAUUACC
Long non-coding RNA from Vicia villosa (hairy vetch), 666 nucleotides. RefSeq lists it as uncharacterized. The transcript has 3 exons. The record is from RefSeq and is a predicted model, not a curated record. Lineage: Eukaryota; Viridiplantae; Streptophyta; Magnoliopsida; Fabales; Fabaceae.